This 478-nucleotide ribosomal RNA is filed under the name uncultured bacterium. RNAcentral's name for it is "bacterial SSU rRNA". It matches the Rfam family "Bacterial small subunit ribosomal RNA", at positions 501 to 978 of the family's 1533-position model. The record is from RNAcentral.
CUACGUGCCAGCAGCCGCGGUAAUACGUAGGGUGCGAGCGUUAAUCGGAAUUACUGGGCGUAAAGCGGGCGCAGACGGUUACUUAAGCAGGAUGUGAAAUCCCCGGGCUCAACCUGGGAACUGCGUUCUGAACUGGGUGACUAGAGUGUGUCAGAGGGAGGUAGAAUUCCACGUGUAGCAGUGAAAUGCGUAGAGAUGUGGAGGAAUACCGAUGGCGAAGGCAGCCUCCUGGGAUAACACUGACGUUCAUGCCCGAAAGCGUGGGUAGCAAACAGGAUUAGAUACCCUGGUAGUCCACGCCCUAAACGAUGUCGAUUAGCUGUUGGGCAGCAUGACUGCUUAGUAGCGAAGCUAACGCGUGAAAUCGACCGCCUGGGGAGUACGGUCGCAAGAUUAAAACUCAAAGGAAUUGACGGGGACCCGCACAAGCGGUGGAUGAUGUGGAUUAAUUCGAUGCAACGCGAAGAACCUUACCUGG